GAUGAAGAACGCAGCGAAAUGCGAUAAGUAAUGUGAAUUGCAGAAUUCAGUGAAUCAUCGAAUCUUUGAACGCACAUUGCGCCCGCCAGUAUUCUGGCGGGCAUGCCUGUUCGAGCGUCAUUUCAACCAUCAAGCCCCCGGCUUGUGUUGGGGACCUGCGGCUGCCGCAGGCCCUGAAAACCAGUGGCGGGCUCGCUAGUCACUCCGAGCGUAGUAAUACAUCUCGCUCAGGGCGUGCUGCGGGUUCCGGCCGUUAAAAAAGCCUUAUUUACCCAAGGUUGACCUCGGAUCAGGUAGGAAUACCCGCUGAACUUAAGCAUAUCAAUAAGCGGAGGA
This 336-nucleotide unclassified non-coding RNA is filed under the name soil metagenome. RNAcentral's name for it is "partial contains 5.8S ribosomal RNA, internal transcribed spacer 2, and large subunit ribosomal RNA". The stretch from base 1 to 120 matches the Rfam family "5.8S ribosomal RNA", at positions 35 to 154 of the family's 154-position model. The record is from RNAcentral.